CCCAUUCCAUUGUUCUUCAGAGAGAGCCAGAGAGGCGACGAGUUUUGGGGUUUCUCUCUCAAGAGGAACUGGGCAAGUAUUUUUGAAGAUGGAAGAAUUAGAAAAUUAACAAGAAAACAGAGAGACACUUUUGUACGAAAAUUUCUGUAAUUUAUUUGGCUAUAUGAUUAUCAUGUUCUUUAUUCAUACAUGGAAUGAAUCUCGAUGGAUAGUUUCAAUUAAGGGCAUUGUUCUUUGGUCGAACGGAUGAUCAUUUUGGGCUUCACUGGAUUUCUUUUGGAGAAUUUUCUGAGGGUUUCAUUUUAUGUGUGGUUCGUUUUGCAAUUUUGACAGUUGCCUCAUGGUCAUUCUAUCAAAAUCUGGACAAGAAUUUCUGAGGAUGGAUAUCAGUUCUAUUCCAGAGAAAUCGAUCGAGAAGUAAGUAAUAAUAAGAUUCUUGACCAAAAAAAUUAGGUCAGUCAUAUUUUCACGAUAAAUUUUUUAGCUAUAUGAUGAUAAAAUGGGUUUCAGACUUUCAGUGGAUUUUGUUUUUCGUAUUCUCUGAGGAUUUUCAUCGAAUCUCAAAGUGUUUGGAUUAAAAAAUUGUGUUCUCUCUUGUUUCUAUAAUUUCAUUUUCUUUG
This 620-nucleotide long non-coding RNA is filed under the name Olea europaea (common olive). RNAcentral describes it as "long non-coding RNA (OEUR_LNC014167)". Lineage: Eukaryota; Viridiplantae; Streptophyta; Magnoliopsida; Lamiales; Oleaceae. The record is from RNAcentral.